This 768-nucleotide ribosomal RNA is filed under the name uncultured bacterium. RNAcentral describes it as "bacterial SSU rRNA". It matches the Rfam family "Bacterial small subunit ribosomal RNA", at positions 8 to 794 of the family's 1533-position model. The record is from RNAcentral.
AGAGUUUGAUCAUGGCUCAGGACGAACGCUGGCGGCGUGCCUAACACAUGCAAGUCGAGCGGAGAUAUUAGCAAUAAUAUUUUAGCGGCGGACGGGUGAGUAACGCGUGGGCAACCUACCUUUCACAGGGGGAUAACACAGGGAAACUUGUGCUAAUACCGCAUAACGUCAUGAGGAGACAUCUUCUUAUGACCAAAGGAGUAAUCCAGUGAUAGAUGGGCCCGCGUCCGAUUAGCUAGUUGGUGGUGUAACGGACCACCAAGGCGACGAUCGGUAGCCGAACUGAGAGGUUGAUCGGCCACAUUGGGACUGAGAUACGGCCCAGACUCCUACGGGAGGCAGCAGUGGGGAAUAUUGCGCAAUGGAGGAAACUCUGACGCAGCAACGCCGCGUGAAGGAUGAAGGUUUUCGGAUCGUAAACUUCUUUGAUGGGGGACGAACAAAGACGGUACCCCAAAAACAAGCCACGGCUAACUACGUGCCAGCAGCCGCGGUAAUACGUAGGUGGCGAGCGUUGUCCGGAAUUACUGGGUGUAAAGGGCGUGUAGGCGGGAAUGUAAGUCAGAUGCGAAAGGCCGAGGCUUAACCUCGGAGCUGCAUCUGAAACUGUGUUUCUUGAGUAUCGGAGAGGAAAGUGGAAUUCCCAGUGUAGCGGUGAAAUGCGUAGAUAUUGGGAGGAACACCAGUGGCGAAGGCGACUUUCUGGACGAUAACUGACGCUGAGGCGCGAAAGCGUGGGGAGCAAACAGGAUUAGAUACCCUGGUAGU